AGUGAACGCUGGCGGUAGGCCUAACACAUGCAAGUCGAACGGCAGCACAGUAAGAGCUUGCUCUUACGGGUGGCGAGUGGCGGACGGGUGAGGAAUACAUCGGAAUCUACUUUUUCGUGGGGGAUAACGUAGGGAAACUUACGCUAAUACCGCAUACGACCUACGGGUGAAAGCAUGGGAUCUUCGGACCUUGCGCGAUUGAAUGAGCCGAUGUCGGAUUAGCUAGUUGGCGGGGUAAAGGCCCACCAAGGCGACGAUCCGUAGCUGGUCUGAGAGGAUGAUCAGCCACACUGGAACUGGGACACGGUCCAGACUCCUACGGGAGGCAGCAGUGGGGAAUAUUGGACAAUGGGCGCAAGCCUGAUCCAGCCAUACCGCGUGGGUGAAGAAGGCCUUCGGGUUGUAAAGCCCUUUUGUUGGGAAAGAAAAGCAGCAGGUUAAUACCCCGCUGUUCCGACGGUACCCAAAGAAUAAGCACCGGCUAACUUCGUG
Molecule: ribosomal RNA, 492 nt
Filed under: uncultured bacterium
Lineage: Bacteria
Description: partial 16S ribosomal RNA
Rfam family: Bacterial small subunit ribosomal RNA
Source: RNAcentral